This 445-nucleotide ribosomal RNA is filed under the name uncultured soil bacterium. Its description in RNAcentral is "bacterial SSU rRNA". It matches the Rfam family "Bacterial small subunit ribosomal RNA", at positions 26 to 518 of the family's 1533-position model. The record is from RNAcentral.
AGAGCGAACGCUGGCGGCAGGCCUAACACAUGCAAGUCGAGCGCCCCGCAAGGGGAGCGGCAGACGGGAGAGUAACACGUGGGAACGUACCCUUCAGUUCGGAACAACCCAGGGAAACUUGGGCUAAUACCGAAUACGUCCGUAAGGAGAAAGAUUUAUCGCUGAAGGAUCGGCCCGCGUCUGAUUAGCUAGUUGGUGAGGUAAUGGCUCACCAAGGCUACGAUCAGUAGCUGGUCUGAGAGGAUGAUCAGCCUCACUGGGACUGAGACACGGCCCAGACUCCUACGGGAGGCAGCAGUGGGGAAUAUUGGACAAUGGGCGCAAGCCUGAUCCAGCCAUGCCGCGUGGGUGAUGAAGGCCCUAGGGUUGUAAAGCCUUUCGGGCGGGAAGAUAAGUGACGGUACCCGCAGAAGAACGCCCCGGCUAACUUCGUGCCAGCAGCCGC